UGGAGGCGCGGCACACAGCUCAGUAGCACGUGGCUAACCUGCCCUUGGGACGGGAACAUCCCCGGGAAACUGGGGUUAAUUCUCGAUAGGUGAAGAUUCCUGGAAUGGGUUUUCGCCCAAAGGACGUUUAGGUCAUGCUUCUAGACGUUGCCCAAGGAUGGGGCCGCGGCCGAUCAGGCUGUUGGUGAGGUAAUGGCUCACCAAACCUUUGACCGGUUCGGGCCGUGGGAGCGGUAGCCCGGAGAUGGGCACUGAGACAAGGGCCCAGGCCCUACGGGGCGCAGCAGUCGCGAAAACUUCGCAAUAAGCGAAAGCUUGACGGGGCCAUCCCGAGUGCCAUCUGCUGAGGAUGGCUUUUACCCAGUAUAGAUAGCUGGGGGAAUAAGGAGAGGGCAAGUCUGGUGUCAGCCGCCGCGGUAACACCAGCUCUCCGAGUUGUGGGGACGUUUAUUGAGCCUGAAGCAUCCGUAGCCGGCUGUGCAAGUCCUCUGUUAAAUCCAGCGAUAAAUCGUUGGCCUGCGGGGGAUACUGCUCGGCUAGGGGGCGGGAGAGGCCGUCGGUAUUCUUGGGGUAGGGGUGAAAUCCUAUAAUCCCAGGAGGACCACCAGUGGCGAAGGCUGUCGGCUAGAACGCGCUCGACGGUGAGGGAUGAAAGCUGGGGGAGCGAACCGGAUUAGAUACCCGGGUAGUCCCAGCUGUAAACGAUGCACGCUAGGUGUUAGGGCGGCUACGUGCCGCUCUAGUGCCGCAGGGAAGCUGUUAAGCCUGCCGCUUGGGGAGUACGGCCGCAAGGCUGAAACUUAAAGGAAUUGGCGGGGGAGCACCACAAGGGGUGAAGCUUGCGGUUUAAUUGGAUUCAACGCCGGG
Molecule: ribosomal RNA, 867 nt
Filed under: uncultured archaeon
Lineage: Archaea
Description: bacterial SSU rRNA
Rfam family: Archaeal small subunit ribosomal RNA
Source: RNAcentral